Non-coding RNA from Sphaerodactylus townsendi, 749 nucleotides. Lineage: Eukaryota; Metazoa; Chordata; Lepidosauria; Squamata; Sphaerodactylidae. The record is from the annotation of a RefSeq genome assembly.
CCUAAAUAAACAGGGUGUGUGAAUUCUCUUGAACUCUCUUCAGAAUGAUGUGGGUUCCUUUGGUUUUGUUCCUGGGGACGUUUUUCUCAGGUUCUAAGUCCCAGUUGGUGUUAACCCAACCACCUUCAGUGGCAGAAUCUCUGGGAUCAACCGUCAGGAUCUCUUGUGCUUUGAAAAGUGACAGCAACUACAAUGAUCAAAGGGUCCGCUGGUACCAACAGCAGAAUGGGGGUGUCCCGCGGUUUAUAUAUCAUUAUCGUCAUGGCAACACCCAGGAAAGGGGCUCCGGGGUCCCCGAGAGAUUCACAGUUUCCCCUGAAGCCACCAACAAACUCUGGUAUUUAGUGAUCACAGGCGUCCAGGCUGAGGAUGAUGCUGAUUAUUAUUGCUGUACAUGGGAUGGUACACUCAGCAAGUAUCACAGUCCAAGUUUCCAGCAAUUGCAAUCCCUGAAACCUUCAGAGACCCCCCCUCUAGGGGGGUCCAUCACCAUGUCUUGCAGAUAUAGCAGUGGAACCAUCACUAGUGGCAAUUACCCUCUAUGGGUCCAACAGAGCCCAGGGAAAACUCCAAGACUUCUUAUAUACAGCACCAGUACCAGAGUAUCUGGCAUCCCAGAUCGUUUCAGUGGGUCAAGCUCUGGAAACACGAUGUCCCUGACCAUCAGUGGGGCCCAGGCUGAAGAUGAAGCUGAUUAUUACUGUGCUGUGUGGCAUGGGGGUGGGUCGCACAGCAACUCAUUCAAAUGA